GACGAACGCUGGCGGCGUGCUCAACACAUGCAAGUCGAACGGAAAGGCCCUGCUUUUGUGGGGUGCUCGAGUGGCGAACGGGUGAGUAACACGUGAGUAACCUGCCCUUGACUUUGGGAUAACUUCAGGAAACUGGGGCUAAUACCGGAUAGGAGCUCCUGCUGCAUGGUGGGGGUUGGAAAGUUUCGGCGGUUGGGGAUGGACUCGCGGCUUAUCAGCUUGUUGGUGGGGUAGUGGCUUACCAAGGCUUUGACGGGUAGCCGGCCUGAGAGGGUGACCGGCCACAUUGGGACUGAGAUACGGCCCAGACUCCUACGGGAGGCAGCAGUGGGGAAUAUUGCACAAUGGGCGGAAGCCUGAUGCAGCAACGCCGCGUGCGGGAUGACGGCCUUCGGGUUGUAAACCGCUUUCGCCUGUGACGAAGCGUGAGUGACGGUAAUGGGUAAAGAAGCACCGGCUAACUACGUGCCAGCAGCCGCGGUGAUACGUAGGGUGCGAGCGUUGUCCGGAUUUAUUGGGCGUAAAGGGCUCGUAGGUGGUUGAUCGCGUCGGAAGUGUAAUCUUGGGGCUUAACCCUGAGCGUGCUUUCGAUACGGGUUGACUUGAGGAAGGUAGGGGAGAAUGGAAUUCCUGGUGGAGCGGUGGAAUGCGCAGAUAUCAGGAGGAACACCAGUGGCGAAGGCGGUUCUCUGGGCCUUUCCUGACGCUGAGGAGCGAAAGCGUGGGGAGCGAACAGGCUUAGAUACCCUGGUAGUCCACGCUGUAAACGGUGGGUACUAGGUGUGGGGUCCAUUCCACGGGUUCCGUGCCGUAGCUAACGCUUUAAGUACCCCGCCUGGGGAGUACGGCCGCAAGGCUAAAACUCAAAGGAAUUGACGGGGCCCCGCACAAGCGGCGGAGCAUGCGGAUUAAUUCGAUGCAACGCGUAGAACCUUACCUGGGUUUGACAUGGAUCGGGAGCGCUCAGAGAUGGGUGUGCCUCUUUUGGGGUCGGUUCACAGGUGGUGCAUGGCUGUCGUCAGCUCGUGUCGUGAGAUGUUGGGUUAAGUCCCGCAACGAGCGCAACCCUUGUUCACUGUUGCCAGCACGUUAUGGUGGGGACUCAGUGGAGACCGCCGGGGUCAACUCGGAGGAAGGUGGGGAUGACGUCAAGUCAUCAUGCCCCUUAUGUCCAGGGCUUCACGCAUGCUACAAUGGCUGGUACAGAGAGUGGCGAGCCUGUGAGGGUGAGCGAAUCUCGGAAAGCCGGUCUCAGUUCGGAUUGGGGUCUGCAACUCGACCUCAUGAAGUCGGAGUCGCUAGUAAUCGCAGAUCAGCAACGCUGCGGUGAAUACGUUCCCGGGGCU
Molecule: ribosomal RNA, 1346 nt
Filed under: uncultured bacterium
Lineage: Bacteria
Description: bacterial SSU rRNA
Rfam family: Bacterial small subunit ribosomal RNA
Source: RNAcentral